RNAcentral lists this unclassified non-coding RNA (242 nucleotides) under Fritzschia sessilis. RNAcentral's name for it is "Comolia sessilis partial external transcribed spacer". The record is from RNAcentral. Lineage: Eukaryota; Viridiplantae; Streptophyta; Magnoliopsida; Myrtales; Melastomataceae.
CUCGGGCCGACCCCCUCUCGGGCGCUUCUCCUCGCGAUGGCGCGUAGGUGCUGCCGGGCAUGCUCUCGGGUACGGUGGUGGCUUCGUUGGUUUUCGCAACGGUCCUCGUCAGCCGUUGUGGUCUAGACGUGUCGAAGCGUUAGCGCUUCUGCUCGCGUAAUGCUCGUUCUUGUCCAAGGGCUCUCGGCGCUUCACCGUUUCGUGAUCGCCUUGGGGAGGCACGGAGGUCUACGGAGCGACGC